Long non-coding RNA from Nicotiana attenuata, 961 nucleotides. RefSeq lists it as uncharacterized. Lineage: Eukaryota; Viridiplantae; Streptophyta; Magnoliopsida; Solanales; Solanaceae. The record is from RefSeq and is a predicted model, not a curated record. The transcript has 2 exons.
AACCCGAGGCCUAAGAAAAAAAUUUGGAGCUUCAGCCGCAAAGACCAAAAAUGAAAAAGUUAUCCUCUCAAGAAUGAAAAUCAGCUGCUAGACCUAGGGACUUGAAGCUGUCCGCCAUUUCCCAUCACAAAUACGAGACCCCCACUCCUUUGGAUCAUUUUUUUGAUUCCAACAAAACCAGACCAUCAGCUAUACGAAUCCGAAAUCAACCGUUCGUCCUCCAAAACCAGCACUCGUCGUUGAACUGCCGUGUGAUUCAAAUCCUAGCUGGUUUCGGUUUUAGUUAUUGGAAAAAGAGGGGUUUGAGUUGAGGACGACGAUGGCGUAGUUGAGUUCCGACGGGGUUUUGAGGUUUCGUGGAGGUUCUCGGUUAUUAGCGGCUAAGAAAGGUGUAUGCUCAAGUUCAUUUUGAAAAGGCUUCUAAAGGAGCCACUCCGAGCUAUGAGGAAGCUAAAGAGUGUUUUGGAGUCAAUAUGUGGAAGGCCAAUCGGAGGUUAGCGCGGUUGAAAAGGAGAAAGAAAAUCAAGUGGGAAAGUCCCCUCCAGGUGCCCGGUGCAGAUUGAACCGCGGAUUGGCCGCGUACUGAGGCAGAAUACUGGGCAAGAUCCGCGGUCCAAUCUGCGGCCGCGGACAAGCUGACGAAAGCCAAUAACCCAGGGUCAAUUAAGUAAUUUCCAAGACGACUAACCUAAACCUAUAUGAAGCCUAAUUCGCCCAGAAGAGAAGGAUAGCUGUGUUUAGAGAGAUUUUGAAGGCAAGAACACGGGAGAAAGACAGAGAAUUUCCUUAGAGUUUUCAUCUUCUUCUUUUUAAUUCCAUUGUUGAUUAUGACUUUCUAUAGUGAAUUUUCAUCUAUUAGUAUGAGUAGCUAAACCCGUCAUCUAGGGUUGAUGGAACCAAUUGUUGGAUAAAAUCUUGACUCUGUUUUGAUAUAAUUGGGACGUUUUUUCUCUAUGAUUGU